This 253-nucleotide ribosomal RNA is filed under the name uncultured bacterium. Its description in RNAcentral is "partial 16S ribosomal RNA". It matches the Rfam family "Bacterial small subunit ribosomal RNA", at positions 524 to 776 of the family's 1533-position model. The record is from RNAcentral.
UACGAAGGGGGCUAGCGUUGCUCGGAAUCACUGGGCGUAAAGCGUGCGCAGGCGGUUAUGUAAGACAGGUGUGAAAUCCCCGGGCUUAACCUGGGAACUGCAUUUGUGACUGCAUAGCUAGAGUACGGUAGAGGGGGAUGGAAUUCCGCGUGUAGCAGUGAAAUGCGUAGAUAUGCGGAGGAACACCGAUGGCGAAGGCAAUCCCCUGGACCUGUACUGACGCUCAUGCACGAAAGCGUGGGGAGCAAACAGG